GAAGUGUUGGCAAUGCUGCCUGCCAUGCCUUGACACAAGGCAGGCUUCUGAGGCAUAGUUACAUAUCUAAGCCUGCUUCAUGGACUCUUUGCUAAGAUAAAUUAUUUUCCAAGGCAUGUCAUGUGAAAGGUAUAUUCUGCCAAGAAGCCCAUCUUUGUCCAAG
Molecule: long non-coding RNA, 163 nt
Organism: Hemicordylus capensis (graceful crag lizard)
Lineage: Eukaryota; Metazoa; Chordata; Lepidosauria; Squamata; Cordylidae
Exons: 3
Source: RefSeq, a predicted model, not a curated record